GGCUGCGUGGCCCAGUGGUUAAGGCAUCUGCUUUACAGUCCCAUCGCAGAGGAUCGCAGGUUCGAGCCCUGCCGCGGUCA
Staphylotrichum tortipilum is the source of this 80-nucleotide non-coding RNA. NCBI's taxonomy places the organism in Eukaryota, Fungi, Ascomycota, Sordariomycetes, Sordariales, Chaetomiaceae. The record is from the annotation of a GenBank genome assembly.